GACUCGUCACACUAUCAUUAACUGAAUCCAUAGGUUAAUGAGGCGAACCGGGGGAACUGAAACAUCUAAGUACCCCGAGGAAAAGAAAUCAACCGAGAUUCCCCCAGUAGCGGCGAGCGAACGGGGAGGAGCCCAGAGCCUGAAUCAGCAUGUGUGUUAGUGGAAGCGUCUGGAAAGGCGCGCGAUACAGGGUGACAGCCCCGUACACAAAAGCGCAUGUGCUGUGAGCUCGAUGAGUAGGGCGGGACACGUGGUAUCCUGUCUGAAUAUGGGGGGACCAUCCUCCAAGGCUAAAUACUCCUGACUGACCGAUAGUGAACCAGUACCGUGAGGGAAAGGCGAAAAGAACCCCGGCGAGGGGAGUGAAAAAGAACCUGAAACCGUGUACGUACAAGCAGUGGGAGCACCCUUUGGGGUGUGACUGCGUACCUUUUGUAUAAUGGGUCAGCGACUUAUAUUCUGUAGCAAGGUUAACCGAAUAGGGGAGCCGGAGGGAAACCGAGUCUUAAUUGGGCGUUAAGUUGCAGGGUAUAGACCCGAAACCCGGUGAUCUAGCCAUGGGCAGGUUGAAGGUUGGGUAACACUAACUGGAGGACCGAACCGACUAAUGUUGAAAAAUUAGCGGAUGACCUGUGGCUGGGGGUGAAAGGCCAAUCAAACCGGGAGAUAGCUGGUUCUCCCCGAAAGCUAUUUAGGUAGCGCCUCGUGAAUUCAUCUCCGGGGGUAGAGCACUGUUUCGGCUAGGGGGCCAUCCCGGCUUACCAACCCGAUGCAAACUGCGAAUACCGGAGAAUGUUAUCACGGGAGACACACGGCGGGUGCUAACGUCCGUCGUGAAGAGGGAAACAACCCAGACCGCCAGCUAAGGUCCCAAAGUCAUGGUUAAGUGGGAAACGAUGUGGGAAGGCCCAGACAGCCAGGAUGUUGGCUUAGAAGCAGCCAUCAUUUAAAGAAAGCGUAAUAGCUCACUGGUCGAGUCGGCCUGCGCGGAAGAUGUAACGGGGCUAAACCAUGCACCGAAGCUGCGGCAGCGACACUAUGUGUUGUUGGGUAGGGGAGCGUUCUGUAAGCCUGUGAAGGUGUGUCGUGAGGCAUGCUGGAGGUAUCAGAAGUGCGAAUGCUGACAUAAGUAACGAUAAAGCGGGUGAAAAGCCCGCUCGCCGGAAGACCAAGGGUUCCUGUCCAACGUUAAUCGGGGCAGGGUGAGUCGACCCCUAAGGCGAGGCCGAAAGGCGUAGUCGAUGGGAAACGGGUUAAUAUUCCCGUACUUGGUGUUACUGCGAAGGGGGGACGGAGAAGGCUAUGUUGGCCGGGCGACGGUUGUCCCGGUUUAAGCGUGUAGGUGUGUGUUCCAGGUAAAUCCGGUU
Molecule: ribosomal RNA, 1367 nt
Filed under: Salmonella enterica subsp. enterica serovar Gaminara
Lineage: Bacteria; Pseudomonadati; Pseudomonadota; Gammaproteobacteria; Enterobacterales; Enterobacteriaceae
Description: partial 23S ribosomal RNA
Rfam family: Bacterial large subunit ribosomal RNA
Source: RNAcentral